CUUUAUGUUGAGGAGGAAAGUCCGGACAGCACAGAGCAUUGCACCGGUGAAGAGCCGGGUUCCGAUUCAUCGGAAACAGAUAGUGCCACAGAAAAUAACCUCACCCCCAACCCCCUCUCCACAAAAUGGAGAGGGGGAGAAGGGAAAGUGAAAGGGUGAAAAUGUGAGGUAAAAGCUCACAGCUUUUGUUGGUAACAACAUUUGCGGGUAAACCUUGCAAGCUGAAAUGCCACGUAUAGUAUCGUUUGAGGGCUGCUCGUCCGAUGAUACAGGGUAGGCAGAUUGAUCCCCGUGGGUAACCAUCGGGACAGAUAAAUGAUAGGCUUUUCCACCGAAGCAUUAGCGUAGGUGGAUGGAAACAGAAUCCGGCUUACGGGUUUGUAGCGAUU
RNAcentral lists this RNase P RNA (389 nucleotides) under Chitinophagaceae bacterium. RNAcentral's name for it is "partial RNase P RNA component class A". It matches the Rfam family "Bacterial RNase P class A". From Rfam's summary of the family: Ribonuclease P (RNase P) is a ubiquitous endoribonuclease, found in archaea, bacteria and eukarya as well as chloroplasts and mitochondria. Lineage: Bacteria; Pseudomonadati; Bacteroidota; Chitinophagia; Chitinophagales; Chitinophagaceae. The record is from RNAcentral.